CCUACGGGGGACAGCAGUGAGGAAUAUUGGUCAAUGGGCGUAAGCCUGAACCAGCCAAGUCGCGUGAGGGAUGAAGGUUCUAUGGAUCGUAAACCUCUUUUAUAAGGGAAUAAAGUGUGGGAUGUGUCCUAUUUUGUAUGUACCUUAUGAAUAAGGAUCGGCUAACUCUGUGCCAGCAGCCGCGUUAAUACGGAGGGUCCGAGCGUUAUCCGGAUUUAUUGGGUUUAAAGGGUGCGUAGGCGGCCUUUUAAGUCAGCGGUGAAAGUCUGUGGCUCAACCAUAGAAUUGCCGUUGAAACUGGGGGGCUUGAGUAUGUUUGAGGCAGGCGGAAUGCGUGGUGUAGCGGUGAAAUGCUUAGAUAUCACGCAGAACCCCGAUUGCGAAGGCAGCCUGCCAAGCCAUGACUGACGCUGAUGCACGAAAGCGUGGGGAUCAAACAGGAUUAGAGACCCUUGUAGUC
RNAcentral lists this ribosomal RNA (460 nucleotides) under uncultured bacterium. RNAcentral's name for it is "partial 16S ribosomal RNA". It matches the Rfam family "Bacterial small subunit ribosomal RNA", at positions 338 to 795 of the family's 1533-position model. The record is from RNAcentral.